RNAcentral lists this non-coding RNA (45 nucleotides) under Schistosoma margrebowiei. Lineage: Eukaryota; Metazoa; Platyhelminthes; Trematoda; Strigeidida; Schistosomatidae. The record is from RNAcentral.
AUCCUGUUGACGAGUCCCAAGUAGGACGAAACGCGUGUUCUAGAU